GCUUAACACAUGCAAGUCGAGGGGCAUCAGGAAGAAAGCUUGCUUUCUUUGCUGGCGACCGGCGCACGGGUGAGUAACACGUAUCCAACCUGCCCUUUACUCGGGGAUAGCCUUUCGAAAGAAAGAUUAAUACCCGAUGGCAUAAUGAUUCCGCAUGGUUUCAUUAUUAAAGGAUUCCGGUCAAGGAUGGGGAUGCGUUCCAUUAGGUUGUUGGUGAGGUAACGGCUCACCAAGCCUUCGAUGGAUAGGGGUUCUGAGAGGAAGGUCCCCCACAUUGGAACUGAGACACGGUCCAAACUCCUACGGGAGGCAGCAGUGAGGAAUAUUGGUCAAUGGGCGCUAGCCUGAACCAGCCAAGUAGCGUGAAGGAUGAAGGCUCUAUGGGUCGUAAACUUCUUUUAUAUAAGAAUAAAGUGCAGUAUGUAUACUGUUUUGUAUGUAUUAUAUGAAUAAGGAUCGGCUAACUCCGUGCCAGCAGCCGCGGUAAUACGGAGGAUCCGAGCGUUAUCCGGAUUUAUUGGGUCUAAAGGGAGCGUAGGUGGACUGGUAAGUCAGUUGUGAAAGUUUGCGGCUCAACCGUAAAAUUGCAGUUGAUACUGUCAGUCUUGAGUACAGUAGAGGUGGGCGGAAUUCGUGGUGUAGCGGUGAAAUGCUUAGAUAUCACGAAGAACUCCGAUUGCGAAGGCAGCUCACUGGACUGCAACUGACACUGAUGCUCGAAAGUGUGGGUAUCAAACAGGAUUAGAUACCCUGGUAGUCCACACAAUAAACGAUGAAUACUCGCUGUUUGCGAUAUACAGUAAGCGGCCAAGCGAAAGCAUUAAGUAUUCCACCUAGGGAGUACGCCGGCAACGGUGAAACUCAAAGGAAUUGACGGGGGCCCGCACAAGCGGAGGAACAUGUGGUUUAAUUCGAUGAUACGCGAGGAACCUUACCCGGGCUUAAAUUGCAGUGGAAUGAUGUGGAAACAUGUCAGUGAGCAAUCACCGCUGUGAAGGUGCUGCAUGGUUGUCGUCAGCUCGUGCCGUGAGGUGUCGGCUUAAGUGCCAUAACGAGCGCAACCCUUAUCUUUAGUUACUAACAGGUUAUGCUGAGGACUCUAGAGAGACUGCCGUCGUAAGAUGUGAGGAAGGUGGGGAUGACGUCAAAUCAGCACGGCCCUUACGUCCGGGGCUACACACGUGUUACAAUGGGGGGUACAGAAGGCAGCUAGCGGGUGACCGUAUGCUAAUCCCAAAAGCCUCUCUCAGUUCGGAUCGAAGUCUGCAACCCGACUUCGUGAAGCUGGAUUCGCUAGUAAUCGCGCAUCAGCCACGGCGCGGUGAAUACGUUCCCGGGCCUUGUACACACCGCCCGUCAAGCCAUGGGAGCCGGGGGUACCUGAAGUACGUAACCGCAAGGAUCGUCCUAGGGUAAAACUGGUGACUGGGGCUAA
RNAcentral lists this ribosomal RNA (1435 nucleotides) under uncultured organism. Its description in RNAcentral is "16S ribosomal RNA". It matches the Rfam family "Bacterial small subunit ribosomal RNA". The record is from RNAcentral.